Molecule: ribosomal RNA, 253 nt
Filed under: uncultured bacterium
Lineage: Bacteria
Description: partial 16S ribosomal RNA
Rfam family: Bacterial small subunit ribosomal RNA
Source: RNAcentral
UACGUAGGGGGCUAGCGUUGUCCGGAAUCAUUGGGCGUAAAGCGCGUGUAGGCGGUCCGGUAAGUCCGCUGUGAAAGUCGGGGGCUCAACCCUCGGAUGCCGGUGGAUACUGUCGGGCUUGAGUACGGAAGAGGCGAGUGGAAUUCCUGGUGUAGCGGUGAAAUGCGCAGAUAUCAGGAGGAACACCUAUGGCGAAGGCAGCUCGCUGGGACGGUACUGACGCUGAGGCGCGAAAGCGUGGGGAGCAAACAGG